AACGAACGCUGGCGGCAUGCCUAACACAUGCAAGUCGAACGAGACCUUCGGGUCUAGUGGCGCACGGGUGCGUAACGCGUGGGAACCUGCCCUUAGGUUCGGAAUAACUCCCCGAAAGGGGUGCUAAUACCGGAUAAUGUCUUCGGACCAAAGAUUUAUCGCCUUUGGAUGGGCCCGCGUUGGAUUAGCUAGUUGGUAGGGUAAAAGCCUACCAAGGCGAGGAUCCAUAGCUGGUCUGAGAGGCUGAUCAGCCACACUGGGACGAAGACACGGCCGAGACUACUACGGGAGGGGGGAGUGGGGAAUAUUGGAAAAUGGGCGAAAGGCUGAUCCAGCAAGGCCGGGUGAGUGAUGAAGGCCUUAGGGUUGUAAAGCUCUUUUACCCGGGAUGAUAAUGACAGUACCGGGAGAAUAAGCUCCGGCUAACUCCGUG
RNAcentral lists this ribosomal RNA (433 nucleotides) under uncultured bacterium. Its description in RNAcentral is "partial 16S ribosomal RNA". It matches the Rfam family "Bacterial small subunit ribosomal RNA", at positions 29 to 507 of the family's 1533-position model. The record is from RNAcentral.